UGAAGUGAACGGGAUUAGUUACCCCAGUAAUCUAAGCAGAAAAUGAUGAAUGUCAUAGGUUAAAUAGCAGCAGUGUUUGAUAGUAGCAAUGCAAACUGCAACACAUUUGGUCUAUAAAUGAAAGUGUAAGCAUUCCACCUCAAGAGUAAUUUGGCAACAUUGAAACUGAAAUCAUUAGACCGUUUCUGAAACCAGUAGUGAAGUAUGUUGUUUAAUUAGAUGAUACACAAAAAACCUUACCACAUUGAUUUAUAUUUGAAAAAAUAUAAUUUCAAUUAUUAUAUGAAUAAUAUCUUUAAAGAUAUAUACAAGCGCUGCACGGCUGUCUUCAGUUAAUGUCGUGAGACUGUGGUUAGUUCCAUUAAAUUAACGUAAACCCUCACUUUAUUUAUAUAUAAAGUAUUGAUCAAAAUACAAUAUG
This 421-nucleotide ribosomal RNA is filed under the name Pseudocyphellaria mallota. Its description in RNAcentral is "SSU rRNA". It matches the Rfam family "Bacterial small subunit ribosomal RNA", at positions 764 to 1146 of the family's 1533-position model. The record is from RNAcentral. Lineage: Eukaryota; Fungi; Ascomycota; Lecanoromycetes; Peltigerales; Lobariaceae.